CCGUGUUGUAGCUAACGCGUUAAGCACUCCGCCUGGGGACUACGGUCGCAAGACUAAAACUCAAAGGAAUUGACGGGGACCCGCACAAGCGGUGGAGCAUGUGGUUUAAUUCGAUGCAACGCGAAAAACCUUACCACUCCUUGACAUGGAGAUUAGAUCCUUCUUAACGGAAGGGCGCAGUUCGGCUGGAUCUCGCACAGGUGCUGCAUGGCUGUCGUCAGCUCGUGUCGUGAGAUGUUGGGUUAAGUCCCGCAACGAGCGUAACCCUCAUCCUUAGUUGCCAGCGGGUAAUGCCGGGCACUUUAAGGAAACUGCCGGUGGUAAACUGGAGGAAGGUGGGGAUGAUGUCAAGUCAGCACGGCCCUUAUGGGGUGGGCUACACACGUGCUACAAUGGUGACUACAAUAGGUUGCAAUGUCGCAAGGCUGAGCUAAUCCGUAAAAGUCAUCUCAGUUCGGAUUGUCCUCUGCAACUCGAGGGCAUGAAGUCGGAAUCGCUAGUAAUCGUGGAUCAGCAUGCCACGGUGAAUACGUUCUCGGGUCUUGUACACACUGCCCGUCACGCCAUGGGAAUUGGCUUAACUCGAAGCUGGUGCGCUAACCGAAAGGAAGCAGCC
This 616-nucleotide ribosomal RNA is filed under the name uncultured Anaplasma sp. RNAcentral describes it as "bacterial SSU rRNA". It matches the Rfam family "Bacterial small subunit ribosomal RNA", at positions 841 to 1454 of the family's 1533-position model. The record is from RNAcentral. Lineage: Bacteria; Pseudomonadati; Pseudomonadota; Alphaproteobacteria; Rickettsiales; Anaplasmataceae.